GCUCCCUUGUGACGGUGCCGCGCCUUGUCUCAGCUGCGCCGGGACUCCUCUCCCCAGCGGAUCAAUGCGCACAGGUAACAAACUACCGGAGACAAGGGAACGAGGUGCGGAUCAGGUGAAGGAGAGAGAGAGAGAGAGAGAAGAGAGAGAGAAAGAAAGAAAGAAGAAGAGAAGAAGAGAAGCGGCAGAGGACACGAAACAUCUUCAGGGAGGAAAACAAAGACAUUUUUUUUAUUUUUCUGAGGCUUUUAUUGUCUCACGCCCAGAGGACGUGUUUGAGCGCAGGGCGGCGGGAGGACGCGGUGCGUGACUCACCAGGAGUCGCUCGAUCAACCGGAUCUAGAGAGUGAGAGUGAAGACGCUACUCCAGCGCCUCAGACUUCAAACUGGAUCCCUCCGGUCUUCACCCGUCCAGGGGAUGGCAUGCCGAUCCCCAGCCCAGCUGAGAGGGCGAGUCUGAAUGGCGCCCUAGUCCUUCGCCACCGCUCACCAUCUGCAGCCCUGCUCUCGCUCUCCCCCGCUCCUCUCUGAUCGCCCCUCAACCCCACAUCUCAACAUGGAUACCCUGACCGAAGACAAAGAGGGAUGCUACCUGAACCGCACCGUCAAGUUCUUCUACGAGGAGAGCGGCAAGAACAUCAGCGAUCACUGGCGCGAUCGUGACUACGUGAUCGUCUCUAUGGGAAUGAUGGUCUGCUUCAUCGUGAUCUUUUCCAACCUUCUGGUCAUUGGGGCCAUUUUAAAAAACAGACGCUUUCACUUUCCCAUCUACUACCUGUUGGGAAAUCUGGCGUUGUCAGACCUCUUCUCAGGUGUCUCCUACCUCCACCUGAUGUUCCACACUGGUCCCUGGACCAUCAAACUGUCCAAGAUCCAGUGGUUUGUGCGACAGGGGCUGAUCGACACCAGUCUGACGGCCUCGGUCCUCAACCUGCUGGCCGUGGCCGUGGAGCGUCACCAGACCAUCUUCAACAUGCAGCUGCACAGCAAGAUGAGCAAGCGGCGGGUCUUCAUCAUCAUGGUGUGCAUAUGGCUGGUGGCCAUCGUCAUGGGCCUGGUCCCCACCAUGGGCUGGCACUGCCUCUGCGACCUGCCCAACUGCUCCACCAUGGCGCCGCUGUACAGCCGCAGCUACCUGGUGUUCUGGGGCGUCCUCAAUCUCCUGACCUUCUCCAUCAUGGUGGCCGUCUACACCCGCAUCUUUCUCUACGUCAGGCACAAGAGCAAGCAGAUGUCCCAGCACACGUCCCAGAUGAGACACCGAGAUACGGUGUUCAACCUGAUGAAGACCGUCUCCAUGAUCCUGGGCUGCUUUGUGAUGUGCUGGACGCCCGGCCUGGUGGUGCUGCUGCUCGACGGCGUGGGCUGCGAGAGUUGUAAUGUGCUGGUCUUCGAGAAGUACUUCCUGGUGCUGGCCGAGUGCAACUCCUUCGUCAACCCCAUCAUCUACUGCUUCAGGGACAAAGAGAUGCGGAGGACCUUCAAGGAGAUCCUGUGCUUCCCGUUUCAGCGUGGCAAGAAUCCCCAGGACGCCACUGGGACUCACUUUAACACCCUGGACCACGAGGUACUGUCUGAGAGCAACGGAGUCGACGACAACAAUCACAAACAAAGCAACUGUCACUGUGGACUGUAAAUAAUAAACCCUUGAAACCGCGCUGACUGUAGACAGAGGUUACCCGCUCGCCACGUACAGUACGAUCGUGACAACCAAACAGCUUGAACCACAACCGAGCCGACUUAACAACUUAAUAUUCUGACUAAAUGUUGCUCGUUAUAUUUUACAGUGUAACGCAAAAUAUAUUUUUAUAAUAUAAUCAGAUUUAUGAAAAACUAAAGUUAAACCGUCCAGAUUUACAAACUCAACAGGUCUUUUUUUAAGUUCAGUUCCCUUGAGUGGGUUUAUUUAAAAUUUUUAGAAUGAGAAGCUGGUGGAGACCAAAAAUUGAGAUAAAAGACCCAACUUCCAAUUCGGUACAAGCUAGAUGUGUAAAUAAGCAGCUGUUUGCUAAUAAGUUCAUCCUGUCAAAUGGAAAGUUGAAGAUUCAAAACUUGUUUUUGCUUCACAAGACGUCAAAAGAGUCAGUUAUUGUAUAGUUUAAAGAAAACCCCCCCAAUCAGAGGCGGAUCUCCUCCUCGUCCGGCUUUUGUCUGGUGGAGUUUCUCAUUUACUCCUAAAUUGCAGUAGUGUUUUUUUGCAGAUGGCAAAGCAACAACAUUUAGGUGAUGAAUCUCGAACAUCGUCACCAAAAAAACCUAUGAACCUAGAAAAUAUCAAAAGCUCUCACCUGGUAAUAUAAUCCUCAACAAGCGGAUCCACUGCUGACAUCACAUUCAAGUCAAAUGUAGUGAUUCAUUGUUUGAAAGUGUCUGGUUUGUGUAUUAUACUUAAAUGUUGAUUCUCCUUUCCAUUUUUGUGCUUGAGCAAAUAUAAACCAACGCACUUCUGCUUUUCAUCUCCUCAGUGGGUGAACGGCUUUUCCAACAAUCACCCGAUGCUCAGAACUAAACCUCAAACCAACGGCAAACAUUCUGCCACAUUCAUUAAUCAGUGAUUCGUGCAGAAGCAGAGAAACACACAGUCUGACCGUUUGCAGACAGGAACUCCUGAUAAUCUCCCGCUGUACAUGGGCUCACUCCGACAUUAUCCAGAUCUCACAGACUGCUCCUCUGGAUGAUUUCAGGAGAUUAUCUGGAGUUCGGUGCAUGUCCGAUAGCAGCUUAUGCAGCUCUUAAAGAGUUCUAAAAUACUGCAAGGAAGUUAAAUAUUAGUUACAACCUGCUUAGCGGAGGUAAUGACCCCCCUCCCCCCCGAGAGUCAGCAAACACAACUGCUUUCUCAGUUCAGUAUUUUCAGUUCCAGUCAUGUACACAGCCGCAGACACGUCGCCUCUCAGAGAAACCGUUAACGAACACUGUGAAGGAGAUCAGAUCCUCUUAUCAUGGAGUUCUGAUGAAAUCAACAAGAUGAGAAUGAAAAUAGAGACAAAGGCCCAACAUCCAUGACUCGCUGGUUCUGAACGUUGAAACUGGGACUGAAUUAAAGCCGUAUUCAGAUUGAUUAUUUGAGAUCUGCUCUGAGCACUGGGUGAGACACCGGGGGGGACCAACUAGUUUGUCUUUUGUGGAGAAUCUGAACCUCUGUGCCGAACAAAUGUAUUGAUUUGUUUGCUUUGGUUCACACGAGGACACAAUGCUAACCCCCCCCUCUCGCUCGGCUGUGCUCGUGUCCUCGCUCAGCGUUGCCUUGUGGGCUCUCCACCUCUUGUGCUCGACACAGCAGUACUUUGCUCUGAGCCACAGUUUCAGCCCCUUGCUGGAGUUCUUCGGCUGCUCCCUGCUUCAGGAUCAUUUCCCUCCUUUGCCCUUGUUCGUGCUCCGAUCCAGAACUGAGGCGUGCAGGUAGCUUGAAGGGCCGCAUACCUCAGACGAGCUCAACAGCUUGCAAUCACCGGAGCUGCACCACAUCUCACACACUCGCACGUAUCAGAUUAUAUGUACCUACAAGUCUCGCUCUGAGGUGCCGACACAGAGGGGCAACGGGACGCGUCUCCUCCACCACGGCCCGGAAGACGCACCUACCUCCUCGGACAACUGGAGCUAAAACUUAAACAACGGCGAACUUUCAACAGACAGAGAGAGAGAGAGAGAGGACGUGUACCAGCGACUCUGCCGAUCUGUGUGUGCUCACAUAAACAAACCUCACAGUCUGUUGCUCCUCAGGCGACAGGCUGUUUAUUCUGUGUGUUGAAUCUCUACGUCUGCUGCCGGCGGAGGAUUUCUUUGGAUAAUGUCUUUGUUAAAGAAAGACAAAAGAAAACUGAUCAGCUUUCUAAUAUCAGUGGCUCCUUCCUCAUCCCGUUGCUGAGGCUUUUACACAACAUGGGGGGGGGGGGAACUGACAUUUCCUGUUUGGACGUAAACAACCUGUCAGGUCCCCCCCCCCCACACACCCCUAACCAUGACAGGACGGUGGUAGAAGGCAACACUAACAUCCGCUGAACAACUGGAACAUGUCGGCACAGAUGGAACGUGUGUGUGUGUGUGUGUGUGUGUGUGUGUGUGUGUGUGUGUGUGUGUGUGUGUGUGUGUGUGUGUGUGUGUGUGUGUGUGUGUGUGUGUGUGUGUGUGUGUGUGUGUGUGUGUGUGUGUGUGUGUGUGUGUGUGUGUGUGUGUGUGUGUGUGUGUGUGGAGCGUCUCACAGCAGAAGAAUGUGGAGUUACAAGGCCAGCUGCAGGCCGCGUCAUGUUUAAUGUCAGGUACCAGUUUAUUAGGUACACCUGACUAGAACUGAUGCGGUCCUGUCGCAGCGCUGGCGACCCCCAGUGGUCGGAGACGUUUUGUUUUUCUGCUGUCCCACCGUCCAAGUCUUGUGUGAACAUGAUAUUUCAAGGUCGCCUCUAGGGACUCUCUUCACAUUUGGUACAAACGUUCAGUUGGACACGAGGGUGACCUGAUUUAGAUGUUGGUGGUCACAGGUCAAGGUCACUGUGAGCGCAAAAAACUUUUUGCCCUUGUGAACACAAUAUCGUAAUAAAGCCUUGAGAGAAUCUUGUAAAAUUGUCCAAAAACGUUCACUUUGACUCACAGAAUAACCGAUUAGAUUUGGAUGCUCACGGGUCAAAGGUCAAGGUCUCUCCAUGCAUGUUUUUUGCCGUGGGGGUUUCUUCACUUUUUCACCAGCUGACACUCGAGGUGAACUGAUCAGAUUUCAGUGGUGAAAGGUUUCAGUGACCUCAUGUUGUGAAUGUGACGUGUCAUUGAACACCCGGAGCUGCACUGGUUGGCAGAGACAUAACCAAUCAUUUUAGUGGUAAAUAUUUAAAAUUUAUGUGGAUUCAUCAUAAUCAUAAUUUUGGUGGGCUGCAGUUUGUGGUGCUGUCCACUUAUCCUGCCCUCGUUGUUUUAAAUUCAGUGAAUCUAUAAUCUAUUCAAUCUAUAAAUGAUAGAAAUCCCACUGCAGUAUAAGCUGAAAAAUGAACUUCAGUCUGCAGAACUGUUAUGCGGUUAUACAGUUAAUAUAAACUAGACCUUAGUAACCUUCUUGCUGGAGGUUUUAUCUGUUGGUUUCGCUUAUAAACCGAAACCUGAGUGUAUAUAAAUUCAGUGGAGAUCAGGUUUCAUGUGCACAAAGUCUCUGAGGCUCAUAAACAAUACUUUUAUGAAGGGGAUUUUAUAAAGGGAGUUAACAGACGUAUUUGUUAAUGGUUGAUUAAAUCCUUGACGUCACUGAUUACUCAUCAUAGAACAUGUGGGUUGCCAGGUUGUGUAGCUCGCUCAGUGGUUUCAACCAAGCCUACAUUCGUGCAGGAAAAACCCGUCUUAACGAGUUCUGCUUCGUCCAAAUUUUAUUUAUUUGUUCUACGAAACUAAACUCAUCAGUGGUGGCACUAAUGUCAUUACAUAAACGGCAUUAUUCAGUUCCAUUGUUAGAACUGUUAAAUUGAAGACCUCUAAAAGUUAGAGGAAAAAACUUGAUGAAAAUGUAAGUCUGGAAACCAAACAUAUUCAUAUUAAUGUUUUAUAAGAAAUCUAAAAGCACCAUAACAUGAUUUGUCUUGUAAAGUUUAAACUUAUCUUUUUCAGAAAGUGGUUCCUAGAGCCCACUGAUCAUUUCUUCUCCAACAAAUAUGAUAAAUCUUCUGUCUUAUGAUUCUGGUUUAAUUGUAAUUUAAGAGUGUGACACUUAUGUUGAUAUUACAUCUCCCGAUGAUAUUAUCAAGGAUUUAUUUUUUUAUUUUACUCUGUCAGAUGAGAUUGUGUUUGUGCCAUUUAUACACAAUGUGUUUAUAAACUGUUCCAUCCUCACAUUUUUAUUGUAGUGUUUCUGCUCUGUCCUGUAAAUCGUCUCUGAGCUGGAACAACCCAAUACGCCUUUGUUAAUGUUUGUGAUGUAAAGCUGUAUUUAUGCUCAUUUUGUGGAUAUUUCCUGCACUUAAACAGGUUAAUAUUUUUUAUUUUUCAUCAUUUACCAGCUACAAUCAUUUCCUUUUUUGUAACGUACGACUGAGUAAACGGCAGCGAUGUGACGCUUCACGUUAAAAUGUGCUGCAGCUGAUUAAUGUCACGUAAACUGACUUCCUGUGUUCUCGUUCAUGGACUAGUUCUAAAGAUGGACGACGCCUCUGCACAUCCUCGCUGUUGUAGAAACAUGAAGCCAAAAUAUCCCAAUUGCCAAAUCUGUUAAUCACGAUGUUUAAUCCAGUUUAUUAUAAAAUGGUCAACUAAUCACCCAGUAACAUGGAGGAGAAAGCGUUCGUGUCUGCAGCCGGCCACAAGGGGGCGAUCAAGAUUCCCUUUUGAGGAUCCGUCAUGUCGUCCGUCUUUAUUUUCAGCCUGUGGUCUCACGCUCCACCGUGACGUCAUUAAAAAACCUUGAAUGUC
RNA transcript from Platichthys flesus (European flounder), 6384 nucleotides. It is a transcript of the gene named lysophosphatidic acid receptor 2b, with no coding region annotated. The record is from RefSeq and is a predicted model, not a curated record. The transcript has 5 exons. Lineage: Eukaryota; Metazoa; Chordata; Actinopteri; Pleuronectiformes; Pleuronectidae.